RNAcentral lists this ribosomal RNA (258 nucleotides) under Triticum aestivum (bread wheat). RNAcentral describes it as "partial small subunit ribosomal RNA". Lineage: Eukaryota; Viridiplantae; Streptophyta; Magnoliopsida; Poales; Poaceae. The record is from RNAcentral.
UUAGCCCACGUAUCAGAUAUUAAACUGAUAAGAACAGAUACCACACUUGAUCUUAGCCAAAAGGCCGAGAAAGGUAUGAGUUGCAACCCACGCCACCCCCUCCUUAUAGCCUCGCCGACCCCCUCAGUCCCUCUCGCUGCGCGAUGUGGGACUAAACGUAACGACCAACCUCUGCUCCUCGCACGCACCCGCACCGGGUUCGCUGAAGCUAACCGCGGGUGGGCUUUUGUUUCCGCAGCCCGAUGGGCUUUGACUUGA